AGGACUUCAAGUGGAAGAUU
RNAcentral lists this microRNA (20 nucleotides) under Schistosoma japonicum. Its description in RNAcentral is "miRNA-3023". The record is from RNAcentral. Lineage: Eukaryota; Metazoa; Platyhelminthes; Trematoda; Strigeidida; Schistosomatidae.